This 77-nucleotide transfer RNA is filed under the name Candidatus Berkelbacteria bacterium CG08_land_8_20_14_0_20_39_8. RNAcentral's name for it is "tRNA-Val". It matches the Rfam family "tRNA". Rfam says of the family: Transfer RNA (tRNA) molecules are approximately 80 nucleotides in length. Their secondary structure includes four short double-helical elements and three loops (D, anti-codon, and T loops). The record is from RNAcentral. Lineage: Bacteria; Candidatus Berkelbacteria.
GCGCCCAUAGCUCAGUUGGUUAGAGCGCUACAUUGACAUUGUAGAGGUCAGAAGUUCAAGUCUUCUUGGGCGCACCA